CCCGAACCGGCGGGCUACGUGCGGGGGUCUCAGAGGCUGCGGCUCCUCCCGUCGGUGGGCGCGGCCGCCCCCAGAGGCCGCUGCGGGAAGCAGGGCGGCGGCAGGAAGCGCCCCCCCCGUUCCCCCUUCCCCCCCGUACCCCUCUUCCCCCGCUCGUCCCCCCUUCCCCACCCCAGGCCCCGCGGAGGCGGCGCGCGUUUCACGGGUUUCGCCGCCCGCGGCACGGUGGGGGCGGGGGCGGGGGCGGGGGCGGCGGUGCGACCCCCAGCGGUGGAAGCGGGAACUGCAGCUCGGCCGAGCUCGGGGUUGGGGGGUCCCUGCCAACCCUGCCCUCCCGGAAGGUCCCAGCCUGGCGGGUUCGGGUGCUUUUCUCUCUGGGGCGCGGCCUCCCUGUUCUGCUCAGUUGGGGGUCCGUUCCCGGGAAGAACCACCACACCCCCCAUCCCGGCCCGCAGGCCCCAGCCGCCAAGUCGUUGCUGGGGAGGUGGGCGCAGGCCGCCCUCUCUCCGUGAGCCCACUCGCCACAACCCGCAGGGACCUGGGGGACUCGGUGGAUCCAACCACAGGAGACCAUGAGACACAGGCGGUCUCGCCGAGGCCUGCCGCUUAGAGCUGUCUCUCCUCCUCACGGGCCCCCUGGCUCCCUGCAGGCCUGGCCUCCUAUCUCCCUCAGGCCAUCAGCCCAGGGACCCCCAGCCCAGGCACCCCACCCAUGCUCUGAGCUGUGGGCCUGAAACCCGCCCUCCUAGCAGGGAGCCUGGCUGCGCCCCAGGCCGCUUCUGCUUGGAGCUCCGUGGAAGGAAAUGCCCUCAGGUUCCCAGGCACUGAGCCUCCCCUCCCGCUAACCCCAUCAGGGGUAUAGCAGCCCCGUGGUGCUCAGCCUGCCUCUCUCUGCCUGGGCAGGACCGUGGAGCCCAUGCGUGUCCUCUCUCCUGUCCCCAGAUGGAAGCCGGCAGGAAGGCGGCGCCACAGACUGAGGAGGCCCUGCUGGCCCUGGAGCUGUGUUCGGAGCCCCCACAGCCUGGCUCCUGGCUCUGGUUGCCGUGGGCGGGAGGUGGAAGUACAAGGAGAAGGAGUGUCCAGCAUUUUCACGAGUGCCACCGCCAGAGGUCAAGCUGAGGACAAGAGGGCAGCCAGGCACCACCCUGGCCCCAGGCAGACUCCCCAGGGCUCGCUGAAGGGCCGGCAGCCCUGGGCCUGGCAGCUCCCCUUGCAAGCCCCAGCUGGGGGCUCUGUCAUCCGGGAGGCCCUGGGCCUGACCUUCGCCGGCUGCCCCUGGGCCUGGAGGCAGGACACGAAGGGGCUGAUGGGUCUGUGGUCAGCCCCGAGCGCACUUUGCUGAGCUGUGGUCUUGCUGAGCCAGCCCACAGGCCCAGCGACUCCUGGCUUACUCAGCCCAGGCCUGAGGCUCCCAGGGAAGGCCAGGCCAGGCUGUGCAGGAACCUGCCUAUGGGGCUGGGCACCUGGCCCUCCAGGAAGGCCUGCCUGCGAGGAGCUGCUCUGCACAGGGGUCUCGACCCUCCGCUAGGCACCAGGAGCGAAGAGGGAGAGGCUUUGGGAAGGAGACACAGGUCAGAGAGCUUACAGAAAAGUCAGCCUCGAUGGACGGCAAGAUGCACCUGUCAGCCACGAAGGAGCCCCCCGAGGUGCAGAUCCCCACAUCCGCCGCACCCGUGUGGAGAAAACAGCGCUGGAUUUCCUGUCGUGGGUUUUGUGACUUUGAAAGCCGAGGCUGCUGAUUGGGAAUUAAAUCCCAGAGGACGCCGCUCAACACACUGGAAACCCAGCAGCUGCUGCUGUUCCCAGCAAUUUUUCUUUCUCUAAAUUGAAACAUCAUUUUCUAUUUUUCUUCUGA
Long non-coding RNA from Homo sapiens (human), 1855 nucleotides. RefSeq lists it as uncharacterized. The transcript is spliced from 3 exons. NCBI's taxonomy places the organism in Eukaryota, Metazoa, Chordata, Mammalia, Primates, Hominidae. The record is from RefSeq and is a predicted model, not a curated record.